Molecule: ribosomal RNA, 726 nt
Filed under: Triticum aestivum (bread wheat)
Lineage: Eukaryota; Viridiplantae; Streptophyta; Magnoliopsida; Poales; Poaceae
Description: partial small subunit ribosomal RNA
Source: RNAcentral
AUGAAGCUUGUCGUUGUGCUCUCGGCCCUGCUACUGCUUUCUCUCCUCGCCGUCUCCUCCGCCGAGGAAUUCGAUUUCUUCUACCUUGUUCAGCAAUGGCCUGGGUCCUUCUGUGACACGAAGAAGGGGUGCUGCUUCCCGGACACCGGCAAGCCGGCGACGGACUUCGGCAUCCACGGGCUGUGGCCCAACUACGCCAAGUGCAAGACCCGCGGCGAGCUCGACGGCGCCCUGGAGAUGGUGACCAAGCGCAAGAAGAAGUGCUGGCCGGAGAACUGCAACAGCGAGCGCCUCAAGCUCUGGGAGAUCAAGGACCUGGUGACGGAGCUGGACGCCAACUGGCCGACGCUGGCGUGCAAGGGCGGCAAGAGCAUCGAGUUCUGGACCCACGAGUGGGAGAAGCACGGCACCUGCUCCAACCUGGACCAGCACGGCUACUUCGCGACGGCGCUCGGCUUCAAGGCCCGCCACAACCUCACCGGCAUCCUCGCCGACGCCGGGAUCGUGCCGUCGGACAGCGAGACCUACUUCCUCAGCAGCAUCAGGGACGCCAUCAAGGAGGGGACCGGGUUCACGGCGAACCUCGAGUGCAACCGCGGCGUCGCCGGCGAGACGCAGCUGUUCCAGGUGUACCAGUGCAUCGACAGCGCCGGGGAGAACCUCAUCGACUGCCCGCUGCCGAUGCAGGGCAACUGCAAAGACAGGGUCCAGCUGCCGGCCUUCUGA